This 870-nucleotide ribosomal RNA is filed under the name Staphylococcus pseudintermedius. Its description in RNAcentral is "partial 23S ribosomal RNA". It matches the Rfam family "Bacterial large subunit ribosomal RNA", at positions 658 to 1529 of the family's 2925-position model. Lineage: Bacteria; Bacillati; Bacillota; Bacilli; Caryophanales; Staphylococcaceae. The record is from RNAcentral.
AUGUGGAGCCGUAGCGAAAGCGAGUCUGAAUAGGGCGAAUGAGUAUUUGGUCGUAGACCCGAAACCAGGUGAUCUACCCUUGGUCAGGUUGAAGUUCAGGUAACACUGAAUGGAGGACCGAACCGACUUACGUUGAAAAGUGAGCGGAUGAACUGAGGGUAGCGGAGAAAUUCCAAUCGAACUUGGAGAUAGCUGGUUCUCUCCGAAAUAGCUUUAGGGCUAGCCUCAAGUGAUGAUUAUUGGAGGUAGAGCACUGUUUGGACGAGGGGCCCCUCUCGGGUUACCGAAUUCAGACAAACUCCGAAUGCCAAAUAAUUUAACUUGGGAGUCAGAAUGUGGGUGAUAAGGUCCAUAUUCGAAAGGGAAACAGCCCAGACCACCAGCUAAGGUCCCAAAAUAUAUGUUAAGUGGAAAAGGAUGUGGCGUUGCCCAGACAACUAGGAUGUUGGCUUAGAAGCAGCCAUCAUUUAAAGAGUGCGUAAUAGCUCACUAGUCGAGUGACACUGCGCCGAAAAUGUACCGGGGCUAAACAUAUUACCGAAGCUGUGGAUUGUCCUUUGGACAAUGGUAGGAGAGCGUUCUAAGGGCGUUGAAGCAUGAUCGCAAGGACAUGUGGAGCGCUUAGAAGUGAGAAUGCCGGUGUGAGUAGCGAAAGACGGGUGAGAAUCCCGUCCACCGAUUGACUAAGGUUUCCAGAGGAAGGCUCGUCCGCUCUGGGUUAGUCGGGUCCUAAGCUGAGGCCGACAGGCGUAGGCGAUGGAUAACAGGUUGAUAUUCCUGUACCACCAUUAUUCGUUUUAAGCGAUGGGGGGACGCAGUAGGAUAGGCGAAGCGUGCUGUUGGAGUGCACGUCCAAGCAGUGAGAUUGAG